This 424-nucleotide ribosomal RNA is filed under the name Verrucomicrobiota bacterium. Its description in RNAcentral is "Verrucomicrobia bacterium partial 16S ribosomal RNA". It matches the Rfam family "Bacterial small subunit ribosomal RNA", at positions 355 to 776 of the family's 1533-position model. Lineage: Bacteria; Pseudomonadati; Verrucomicrobiota. The record is from RNAcentral.
UGAGGAAUAUUUGUCAAUGGACGCAAGUCUGAACCAGCCAAGUAGCGUGCAGGAUUACGGCCCUAUGGGUUGUAAACUGCUUUUAUAUGGGGAUAAAGUGGGGAACGUGUUCCCUUUUGCAGGUACCAUCUGAAUAAGGACCGGCUAAUUCCGUGCCAGCAGCCGCAGUAAUACGGAAGGUUCGGGCGUUAUCCGGAUUUAUUGGGUUUAAAGGGAGCGUAGGCCGUUUGGUAAGCGUGUUGUGAAAUGUAAGAGCUCAACUUUUAGAUUGCAGCGCGAACUGGCAGACUUGAGUGCGCACAACGUAGGCGGAAUUCAUGGUGUAGCGGUGAAAUGCUUAGAUAUCAUGACGAACUCCGAUUGCGAAGGCAGCUUACGGGAGCGCAACUGACGCUAAAGCUCGAAGGGGCGGGUAUCGAACAGG